RNAcentral lists this small RNA (624 nucleotides) under Pongo abelii (Sumatran orangutan). RNAcentral describes it as "processed transcript". Lineage: Eukaryota; Metazoa; Chordata; Mammalia; Primates; Hominidae. The record is from RNAcentral.
AUGGACAGCUCAGGUGGGUUCAGAGUGGCUCAACUAUGAAGGGAUGCCUAGUUACUGAGAAGCUUAUUAUGGAGCUCAGAGAAGUAGUCAGGGCCGACUCUUAGAAAUUGCAGCUCUCCUGUUUACCUGUAAUCAUUUCAGUUGGAAUUACAAAGCAGGUCAGCUAAAAAGAGUCAGCCUGUGAAGCAUUGUGUUUAACUUGGAUUCACCUGGAGAGAUAGAAGUGGAUUCUGUGAUGUCUUCAAUAAAUCCAAAUACUUCUGGUAUAUUACUCGAGGGGUUUUUAAAUACUGUCAGGAAAAAGAAGGAAGCUCAGCGAUAUCAGAAUGAAGUAAGACACAUCUUCACAGCCUUUGACACGUACUAUCGUGGAUUUUUAACUUUGGAAGAUUUCAAAAAAGCAUUUAGGCAGGUGGCUCCCAAAUUACCGGAAAGGACUGUUCUUGAAGUAUUCAGGGAAGUAGAUCGAGACUCAGAUGGUCAUGUCAGCUUUAGAGACUUUGAAUAUGCUCUGAACUAUGGACAGAAGGAAGCCUAACUAUUGUGAACUACUUUUGGUAACUCUGGGGAGAUCAAUAGAUUGUAAUGUCAGCAGACUCUACUCUACUAAUGAUGUCAUGCUAU